CCUACGGGUGGCAGCAGUGAGGAAUAUUGGUCAAUGGACGAGAGUCUGAUCCAGCCACGUAGCGUGAAGGAUGACUGCCCUAUGGGUUGUAAACUUCUUUUAUAAAGGAAUAAAACGAGGCACGUGUGCAUUUUUGCAUGUACUUUAUGAUUAAGGCUCGGCUACCUCCGUGCCAGCAGCCGCGGUAAUACGGAGGUUCCGAGCGUUAUCCGGAUUUAUUGGGUUUAAAGGGAGCGUAGAUGGGUUGUUAAGUCAGUUGUGAAAGUUUGCGGCUCAACCGUAAAACUGCAAUUGAGACUGGCAGGCUUGAGUACAGUUGAGGUAGGCGGAAUUCGUGGUGUAGCGGUGAAAUGCGUAGAUAUCACGAAGAACCCCGAUUGCGAAGGCAGCUUACUAAACUGUGACUGACAUUGAUGCUCGAAAGUGUGGGGAUCAAACAGGAUUAGAUACCCCAGUAGUC
RNAcentral lists this ribosomal RNA (460 nucleotides) under uncultured bacterium. RNAcentral's name for it is "partial 16S ribosomal RNA". It matches the Rfam family "Bacterial small subunit ribosomal RNA", at positions 338 to 795 of the family's 1533-position model. The record is from RNAcentral.